This 468-nucleotide ribosomal RNA is filed under the name uncultured bacterium. RNAcentral describes it as "partial 16S ribosomal RNA". It matches the Rfam family "Bacterial small subunit ribosomal RNA", at positions 28 to 507 of the family's 1533-position model. The record is from RNAcentral.
GACGAACGCUGGCGGCGUGCUUAACACAUGCAAGUCGAACGGAAAGGCCCUGCUUUUGUGGGGUGCUCGAGUGGCGAACGGGUGAGUAACACGUGAGUAACCUGCCCUUGACUUUGGGAUAACUUCAGGAAACUGGGGCUAAUACCGGAUAGGAGCUCCUGCUGCAUGGUGGGGGUUGGAAAGUUUCGGCGGUUGGGGAUGGACUCGCGGCUUAUCAGCUUGUUGGUGGGGUAGUGGCUUACCGAGGCUUUGACGGGUAGCCGGCCUGAGAGGGUGACCGGCGACAUUGGGACUGAGAUACGGCCCAGACUCCUACGGGAGGCAGAAGUGGGGAAUAUGGCACAGUGGGCGGAAGCCUGAUGCAGCAACGCCGCGUGCGGGAUGACGGCCUUCGGGUAGUAAACCGCUUUCGCCUGUGACGAAGCGUGAGUGACGGUAAUGGGUAAAGAAGCACCGGCUAACUACGUG